AUUGAACGCUGGCGGCAGGCUUAACACAUGCAAGUCGAGCGGUAACAGAGAGAAGCUUGCUUCUCUGCUGACGAGCGGCGGACGGGUGUGUAAUGCCUAGGAAUCUGCCUAGUAGUGGGGGAUAACUUGCCGAAAGGUAAGCUAAUACCGCAUACGUCCUACGGGAGAAAGGAGGGGACCUUCGGGCCUUUCGCUAUUAGAUGAGCCUAGGUCGGAUUAGUCAGUUGGUGAGGUAAUGGCUCACCAAGACCGCGAUCCGUAACUGGUCUGAGGAGGAUGAGCAGUCACACUGGAACUGAGACACGGUCCAGACUCCUACGGGAGGCAGCAGUGGGGAAUAUUGGACAAUGGGGGGAACCCUGAUCCAGCCAUGCCGCGUGUGUGAAGAAGGUCUUAGGAUUGUAAAGCACUUUAAGUUGGGAGGAAGAGCAGUUAACUAAUAUUUGACUGCUUUGACGUUACCGACAGAAUAAGCACCGGCUAACUUCGUGCCAGCAGCCGCCGUAA
This 507-nucleotide ribosomal RNA is filed under the name uncultured bacterium. Its description in RNAcentral is "partial 16S ribosomal RNA". It matches the Rfam family "Bacterial small subunit ribosomal RNA", at positions 30 to 523 of the family's 1533-position model. The record is from RNAcentral.